RNAcentral lists this ribosomal RNA (482 nucleotides) under uncultured Saprospiraceae bacterium. Its description in RNAcentral is "bacterial SSU rRNA". It matches the Rfam family "Bacterial small subunit ribosomal RNA", at positions 28 to 505 of the family's 1533-position model. The record is from RNAcentral. Lineage: Bacteria; Pseudomonadati; Bacteroidota; Saprospiria; Saprospirales; Saprospiraceae.
GAUGAACGCUAGCGGGAGGCUUAAUACAUGCAAGUCGAACGGUAACGAUGGAGCUUGCUCCAGGCGACGAGUGGCGAACGGGUGAGUAACGCGUACAUAACCUACCUUUUACUAGGGGAUAGCCUUGGGAAACUGAGAAUAAUACCCUAUGGUAUCUGACAAUUUUAUGGUGGUCAGAUUAAAGCUCCGGCGGUAAGAGAUGGAUGUGCGUCUGAUUAGCUAGUUGGUAAGGUAACGGCUUACCAAGGCGACGAUCAGUAGGGGGCGUGAGAGCGUGGUCCCCCACACGGGUACUGAGACACGGACCCGACUCCUACGGGAGGCAGCAGUAAGGAAUAUUGGACAAUGGGCGCAAGCCUGAUCCAGCCAUCCCGCGUGCAGGAUGACGGCCCUCUGGGUUGUAAACUGCUUUUGGUAGAGAAGAAACGCCUGAAUUUAUUUGGGUCUGACGGUAUCUACAGAAUAAGCACCGGCUAACUCCG